This 253-nucleotide ribosomal RNA is filed under the name uncultured bacterium. Its description in RNAcentral is "partial 16S ribosomal RNA". It matches the Rfam family "Bacterial small subunit ribosomal RNA", at positions 524 to 776 of the family's 1533-position model. The record is from RNAcentral.
GACGAACCACACAAACGUUAUUCGGAAUUACUGGGCUUAAAGGGUGCGUAGGCGGUCCUAUAAGUCAGUGCUGAAAUAUCCCGGCUUAACCGGGAGGGUGGCAUUGAUACUGCAGGACUUGAGUAAAGUUGAGGUAGGCGGAAUUGACGGUGUAGCGGUGAAAUGCUUAGAUAUCGUCAAGAACACCGAUAGUGAAGACAGCUUACUAAACUUUAACUGACGCUGAGGCACGAAAGUGUGGGGAUCAAACAGG